AUAAAGAUAAGCUAAAUUUAAUAAGCUUUUAGACUCAUAAUCUAACCAUAGAAUAAUUCUUCUUUAUA
This 68-nucleotide transfer RNA is filed under the name Pimpla luctuosa. RNAcentral describes it as "tRNA-Met". Lineage: Eukaryota; Metazoa; Arthropoda; Insecta; Hymenoptera; Ichneumonidae. The record is from RNAcentral.